AUGCUAGGGCAGGUGCCAUGGGCAAGGCUGUCUCCUUCUGGCCCUGCCGUCCUUCUGCUGGCACUCUGUACUGGCGUGACCACUCAGGACAUCUGCAGCUCUCCAGGAUUUCGGGAGCAUGGAGGUAACAACCAGGCUCCAGUCCUGUACCUCAAUGCUUCCAGUGCCCAGGAGGGGGAAAUAGUGCUGCUUCAAUGUACCCUUGAUGAGCAGUUUCCUCCUACACGAGUUGUCUUCUGCAAGAAUGGGCUGGAGGAGUUCAGCCUGAAAGCCCAGCAGGGCAGGCUCAUCUACACUCUGGUCCUGAACAUCACCUCCAGAAGUGCUGGGACGUACACGUGUGGGUACCAGCAAAAGAACAAGGAAAACUGGGUGAGGAGCUCUGCUCUCAGUGCUCCCCGGACCUUGUCUGUGGCAGGCAGCAGCACGUUGACAGCCCACAGACGGAAGACACCAACUAUGGUGACAUCCAGUGUGAGUACUACCUCCUCCCUUGGGGGAAGCCACAUGCUCCUCUCCCCAUGAGAAUCUUCUGCAAGUCCUCAUGGAAUCCUACCACUUCAUUUCCCACUGGGAAUAACAAAAUCCCUGCUCAUUCAUCAAGGCCAGGUUUCUCUCCAGC
RNAcentral lists this long non-coding RNA (622 nucleotides) under Anas platyrhynchos platyrhynchos (common mallard). RNAcentral describes it as "lncRNA (ENSAPLG00000019821.1)". The record is from RNAcentral. Lineage: Eukaryota; Metazoa; Chordata; Aves; Anseriformes; Anatidae.